GACAGAGGGUGCAAACGUUGCUCGGAAUCACUGGGCGUAAAGGGCGCGUAGGUGGUGGCUUAAGCGUGCGGUGAAAGCUCGGGGGCUCAACCCCCGAGUCGGCCGUGCGAACUGGGCUCACUGGAGCAUAGUAGAGGCAGGUGGAAUUCCGGGUGUAGCGGUGGAAUGCGUAGAGAUCCGGAAGAACACCGGUGGCGAAGGCGGCCUCUGGGCUAUGGGCUGACACUGAGGCGCGACAGCGUGGGGGAGCAAACAGGG
This 258-nucleotide ribosomal RNA is filed under the name uncultured bacterium. Its description in RNAcentral is "partial 16S ribosomal RNA". It matches the Rfam family "Bacterial small subunit ribosomal RNA", at positions 524 to 777 of the family's 1533-position model. The record is from RNAcentral.